GACGAACGCUGGCGGCGUGCCUAAUAUAUGCAAGUUGAGCGAUGAAGAUUGGUGCUUGCACCAAUUUGAAGAGCAGCGAACGGGUGAGUAACGCGUGGGGAAUCUGCCUUUGAGCGGGGGACAACAUUUGGAAACGAAUGCUAAUACCGCAUAACAACUUUAAACAUAAGUUUUAAGUUUGAAAGAUGCAAUUGCAUCACUCAAAGAUGAUCCCGCGUUGUAUUAGCUAGUUGGUGAGGUAAAGGCUCACCAAGGCGAUGAUACAUAGCCGACCUGAGAGGGUGAUCGGCCACAUUGGGACUGAGACACGGCCCAAACUCCUACGGGAGGCAGCAGUAGGGAAUCUUCGGCAAUAGACGAAAGUCUGACCGAGCAACGCCGCGUGAGUGAAGAAGGUUUUCGGAUCGUAAAACUCUGUUGGUAGAGAAGAACGUUGGUGAGAGUGGAAAGCUCAUCAAGUGACGGUAACUACCCAGAAAGGGACGGCUAACUACGUG
Molecule: ribosomal RNA, 497 nt
Filed under: uncultured bacterium
Lineage: Bacteria
Description: partial 16S ribosomal RNA
Rfam family: Bacterial small subunit ribosomal RNA
Source: RNAcentral